RNAcentral lists this ribosomal RNA (250 nucleotides) under uncultured bacterium. RNAcentral describes it as "partial 16S ribosomal RNA". It matches the Rfam family "Bacterial small subunit ribosomal RNA", at positions 524 to 773 of the family's 1533-position model. The record is from RNAcentral.
GACGGAGGUGGCAAGCGUUGCUCGGAAUCACUGGGCAUAAAGGGCGCCUAGGCAGUGCGGCAAGUCGACUGUGAAAUCCCCCGGCUCAACCGAGGAAGUGCAGCCGAAACUGCCGUGCUAGAGGACGAGAGGGGAGAGUGGAACUCCUGGUGGAGCGGUGAAAUGCGUAGAUAUCAGGAGGAACGCCGGUGGCGAAAGCGACUCUCUGGCUCGUUCCUGACGCUGACGCGCGAAAGCUAGGGGAGCGAAC